This 113-nucleotide small RNA is filed under the name Marmota monax (woodchuck). Lineage: Eukaryota; Metazoa; Chordata; Mammalia; Rodentia; Sciuridae. The record is from RNAcentral.
GGGCAUGGUGAUGCACACCUGUGAUCCUAGCUACUUGGGAAAUUGAGGCAGGAGAGCGCUUGAGUUCUGGAGUUCAGGACAAGCCUGGGCAACAGAGUCAGACCCAGUCUCUU